AACGAACGCUGGCGGCAGGCCUAACACAUGCAAGUCGAGCGCGCCCUUCGGGGUGAGCGGCGGACGGGUGAGUAACGCGUGGGAACGUGCCCUUUUCUACGGAAUAGCCUCGGGAAACUGAGAGUAAUACCGUAUACGCCCUUUGGGGGAAAGAUUUAUCGGAAAAGGAUCGGCCCGCGUUGGAUUAGGUAGUUGGUGGGGUAAUGGCCUACCAAGCCGACGAUCCAUAGCUGGUUUGAGAGGAUGAUCAGCCACACUGGGACUGAGACACGGCCCAGACUCCUACGGGAGGCAGCAGUGGGGAAUCUUAGACAAUGGGGGCAACACUGAUCUAGCCAUGCCGCGUGAGUGAUGAAGGCCUUAGGGUUGUAAAGCUCUUUCAGCUGGGAAGAUAAUGACGGUACCAGCAGAAGAGGCCCCGGCUAACUCCGUG
This 433-nucleotide ribosomal RNA is filed under the name uncultured bacterium. RNAcentral describes it as "partial 16S ribosomal RNA". It matches the Rfam family "Bacterial small subunit ribosomal RNA", at positions 29 to 507 of the family's 1533-position model. The record is from RNAcentral.